UACGUAGGGACCAAGCGUUGUCCGGAUUUAUUGGGCGUAAAGAGCUCGUAGGCGGCUUGUUGCGUCGACCGUGAAAACCCGGGGCUCAACUUCGGGCUUGCGGUCGAUACGGGCGGGCUAGAGUUCGGUAGGGGAGACUGGAAUUCCUGGUGUAGCGGUGAAAUGCGCAGAUAUCAGGAGGAACACCGGUGGCGAAGGCGGGUCUCUGGGCCGAUACUGACGCUGAGGAGCGAAAGCGUGGGGAGCGAACAGG
RNAcentral lists this ribosomal RNA (253 nucleotides) under uncultured bacterium. RNAcentral describes it as "partial 16S ribosomal RNA". It matches the Rfam family "Bacterial small subunit ribosomal RNA", at positions 524 to 776 of the family's 1533-position model. The record is from RNAcentral.